RNAcentral lists this unclassified non-coding RNA (141 nucleotides) under uncultured Leotiomycetes. RNAcentral's name for it is "sequence contains ITS1". Lineage: Eukaryota; Fungi; Ascomycota; Leotiomycetes. The record is from RNAcentral.
CAGAGAACAUGCCUCUCGGGGUAUAUCUCCCACCCUUUGUUUACAAUACCUUUGUUGCUUUGGCAGGCUUUAGCUAGCCUGUGCCUGCCAGAGGACCCUAAAAUUCUGACAUUAUGUUGUCUGAGUAUGAUGCAAUGAUUA